RNAcentral lists this ribosomal RNA (959 nucleotides) under uncultured bacterium. RNAcentral describes it as "bacterial SSU rRNA". It matches the Rfam family "Bacterial small subunit ribosomal RNA", at positions 56 to 965 of the family's 1533-position model. The record is from RNAcentral.
UGCAAGUCGAGCGAUAAAGUUUCUUCGGAGAUGAUUAAAGCGGCGGACGGGUGAGUAACGCGUAGGAAUUUGCCUGAUAGUGGGGGAUAGCCCGGGGAAACCCGGAUUAAUACCGCAUAUUUUCUAAGGAAAAAAGGAAGCCUCUAUUUAUAUGCUUUCGCUAUCAGAUGAGCCUGCGUCGGAUUAGCUUGUUGGUGAGGUAAUGGCUCACCAAGGCGACGAUCCGUAGCUGGUCUGAGAGGAUGAUCAGCCACACUGGGACUGAGACACGGCCCAGACUCCUACGGGAGGCAGCAGUAGGGAAUAUUGAACAAUGGGGGAAACCCUGAUUCAGCCAUACCGCGUGUGUGAAGAAGGCCUUAGGGUUGUAAAGCACUUUCAGCAGUGAAAAAAAGUCGUAGGUUAAUAGCCUAUGGCCUUGAUGUUAACUGCACAAGAAGCACCGGCUAACUCCGUGCCAGCAGCCGCGGUAAUACGGAGGGUGCAAGCGUUGAUCGGAAUUACUGGGCGUAAAGCGCACGUAGGUGGCUGCGCAAGCUGGAUGUGAAAGCCCUGGGCUCAACCUAGGAACUGCAUUCAGAACUGCACAGCUUGAGUACAGUAGAGGGUAUUGGAAUUUCCGGUGUAGCGGUGAAAUGCGUAGAUAUCGGAAGGAACAUCAGUUGCGAAGGCGAAUACCUGGACUGAUACUGACACUGAGGUGCGAAAGCGUGGGUAGCAAACAGGAUUAGAUGCCCUGGUAGUCCACGCCGUAAACGAUGUCAACUAACCGUUGGUCUGACCAUUUAAUUGUUUUUAUACAAGAACAGUUAAAGAAUAAUUAAAUGGUCAGAUUAGUGGUGAAGCUAACGCGAUAAGUUGACCGCCUGGGGAGUACGGCCGCAAGGUUAAAACUCAAAUGAAUUGACGGGGACCCGCACAAGCGGUGGAGCAUGUGGUUUAAUUCGAUGCAACGCGAA